Molecule: ribosomal RNA, 826 nt
Filed under: uncultured archaeon
Lineage: Archaea
Description: bacterial SSU rRNA
Rfam family: Archaeal small subunit ribosomal RNA
Source: RNAcentral
UUCCCGGUGAUCCUGCCAGAGGUUACUGCUAUCGAGAUUCGACUAAGCCAUGCGAGUCGAAUGUUCUUCGUGAACAUGGCGGACUGCUCAGUAACACGUGGACAACCUACCCUUGGGUCUGGCAUAAUCCUGGGAAACUGGGUAUAAUUCCAGAUAGGUCACAGAUGCUGGAAUGCACUGUGGCCGAAAGCUCCGGCGCCCAAGGAUGGGUCUGCGGCCUAUCAGGGUUGUAGUGGGUGUAACGGACCUACUAGCCUACGACGGGUACGGGUUGUGAGAGCAAGAGCCCGGAGAUGGAUUCUGAGACACGAAUCCAGGCCCUACGGGGUGCAGCAGGCGCGAAAACUUUACAAUGCGGGAAACCGUGAUAAGGGAAUCUCGAGUGCCAGCAUAUAAUGUUGGCUGUCCAGAUGCCUAAAAAGCAUCUGUUAGCAAGGGCCGGGCAAGACCGAUGCCAGCCGCCGCGGUAACACCGGCGGCCCGAGUGGUAACCGCUUUUAUUGGGUCUAAAGGGUCUGUAGCCGGCCAAGUAAGUCCCUUGGGAAAUCUGGCAGCUUAACUGUCAGGCUGCUAGGGGAUACUGCUAGGCUUGGGACCGGGAGAGGUGAGAGGUACCUUGGGGGUAGGGGUGAAAUCUUGUGAUCCUCGGGGGACCACCAGUGGCGAAGGCGUCUCACCAGAACGGGUCCGACGGUAAGGGACGAAAGCUAGGGGCACGAACCGGAUUAGAUACCCGGGUAGUCCUAGCCGUAAACGAUGCUCGCUAGGUGUCAGUCACGGUGCGACCGUGAUUGGUGCCGUAGGGAAGCCGUGAAGCGAGCCACCU